RNAcentral lists this ribosomal RNA (236 nucleotides) under uncultured bacterium. RNAcentral's name for it is "partial 16S ribosomal RNA". It matches the Rfam family "Bacterial small subunit ribosomal RNA", at positions 15 to 242 of the family's 1533-position model. The record is from RNAcentral.
GAUCCUGGCUCAGGACGAACGCUGGCGGCGCGCCUAACACAUGCAAGUCGAACGGAGCUAUGUUGAAAGCUUGCUGGAUAUAUAGCUUAGUGGCGGACGGGUGAGUAACACGUGAGCAACCUGCCUUUCAGAGUGGAAUAACGUUUGGAAACGAACGCUAAUACCGCAUAACGUCAGAGGAUGGCAUCGUCUUUUGACCAAAGAUUUAUCGCUGAAAGAUGGGCUCGCGGCCGUAG